UAAAAAAAGAAAAAAAUAAUAACUCUGCCCUUUCUACACUGAAGUAUCAUAGAUAUGAAGUUAUAAAUGAGGAAACCUAGGUUCAUGUUUUAUUUAUAACUAUUACCUUUGAUUUAUGGUGUUGAAAAACACAUUCAACCUAAUUUAUGCAGGAAUUAACUUUGGUAGAGAUUAAUUUUGGAUCUAUGGCCCCUUCCUAAAAUAUAUCAUCUCUAUUCAUAAUCUGGGCUUGCAGACAGAGAUGGGAGUGAGGAAAAGAAAAAAAAAAAAAAACCUUCCAGAAGGGAAAUACUUUUAAGUCCUUAAAUGAGGAUAACAGAAUGUUUUUAAAAUUAAGAUUCCCUUGAAGUUCAGAGCCAGAAUUUAGAAUGAACUAAACGGUGUUUUCCACUGAGUUUGGACAUUUGGUAGAGCAUUUUAUAUGAAAAUACAUAAAAUAGAAGAAAAUAAAAAACAGGACCAUGGUAUACAUUAAUGCUUAAUAAUAAGUCAAUAAUAACUCUGAAAUAUUUAACCAGUAUUACUCUUAUGUUAUCUGUGUCAUAUCUUAUAGACUACUGAGCACAUGUGUGUCUGAGUGUGUGUCUUGGAAGAGGAAAAGGAUAGGAAGGAGAGGGGAAAAAAAUCAAAGGGAAAAAUUUUAAAAAAAUCAAAGAGAAGUACAAAAUAUAGCUCUGAGCCUCAGGACAGUCGGGGGAAAAAGGCUAUAAUGAGUGUCACGCCUAAUACAAGAAAGCAUGUUAGUUUGCCAAGAGGGCUUAAUUUUCAGAAAGUCGCCUUUGUUUUAAAAAACAAACAACAUAGUAGGUAGUGUCUCUUUUGCUUUUCUUUUCUUAGACCCCAACUAUCUUUGCCGUUUCACACCUCACUGGCUGAGAUGAGUCACUCACUGACAUUACCUGCCUGACCCCAGUCCGCACUUGUGCUUGUGACCCCUGGUCCUGAGGCUGCUGUUGAAAGCUCAUCAUGCCUCUUCCUGUGGAAGCCUCGGGCCAGUCAAAGAGCCACCAGAGGCUGGAGCUUCUGGGUUCAAUCCCCGGGUUAAUGGGCUUGGAGAAGUGGACCUGGACUCCAGGUCCAGAAGGAAAGAGAAGAUUCAGCCCCAACACAAAGCUGCCUCUAUUUCCUGAGAAGCAAGAGGAAGCAACCACUCACCUCAGAGUUUCUGGAGCAACCAUUUCUUGAGCAUCCUUAUUUUGUGAUUGAUAAAAGUUCUUCUGUCAAUGAGAGCACAUGUUCUAACGGUGGUAGGGGUGAGGGGUGGAGAGGUUGGGAAAAAUAUACGUCUAGGAGCAAACAGAAAUUGAUGUUGGAAAACUUUGUUCAUAGUGUAGGGACUCCCUGCAAAUAUUAACAUACUGUGUUACUAAGAAGGGCCAUGGGCCAGCGAGGCAGGAGGUUGGUUUAUCUGUUUGGCUCAUUCUCAGUUUCAUCCUAAGUAGAAACUGGGGCUCUGAUGAAUGAUGGGGACAGAAGAAUGGCAGAGUAUGGAGCUGGAAACACAAGCGAGGGCCUGAAGCCCCUAGCUGUAUACCAUUUGGUGUCCUGGACAGGUAGAGGCGUCCAGAUGGCGCCGGAGACCCUGGUUGGGGGGAUGGGGAGACUCAACAGAAUGAAGGACUGGGAAAAGCUUUGCCUGUUCCCUUGUUUCACUUAAAGUGAAGUGAAGUGAAGUGAAAUCGCUCAGUCGUGUCCGACUAUUUGCGACCCCAUGGACUGUAGCCUACCAGGCUCCUCCCUCCAUGGAAUUCUCCAAGCAAGAGUACUGGAGUGGGUUGCCAUUUCCUUCUCCAGGGUUGUUUCCCUUAAGCCAACGUUAAUUCCUGGGGGUUGUGGUCAAAAAAUGCCACUUGCAUAUCAG
RNAcentral lists this long non-coding RNA (1861 nucleotides) under Bos indicus x Bos taurus (hybrid cattle). Its description in RNAcentral is "lncRNA (ENSBIXG00000022516.1)". The record is from RNAcentral. Lineage: Eukaryota; Metazoa; Chordata; Mammalia; Artiodactyla; Bovidae.